CAGUAGCCGCGGUAACACGGAGGGUGCAAGCGUUAAUCGGAAUUACUGGGCGUAAAGCGCACGCAGGCGGUCUGACAAGUCAGAUGUGAAAUCCCCGGGCUUAACCUGGGAACUGCAUUUGAAACUGUCAGGCUGGAGUCUUGUAGAGGGGGGUAGAAUUCCAGGUGUAGCGGUGAAAUGCGUAGAGAUCUGGAGGAAUACCGGUGGCGAAGGCGGCCCCCUGGACAAAGACUGACGCUCAGGUGCGAAAGCGUGGGGAGCAAACAGGAUUAGAUACCCCAGUAGUCCCUGUCUCUUAUAA
RNAcentral lists this ribosomal RNA (301 nucleotides) under uncultured bacterium. RNAcentral's name for it is "partial 16S ribosomal RNA". It matches the Rfam family "Bacterial small subunit ribosomal RNA", at positions 509 to 809 of the family's 1533-position model. The record is from RNAcentral.